AACAGUCUUUUAGAGUGACGAGC
RNAcentral lists this non-coding RNA (23 nucleotides) under Cricetulus griseus (Chinese hamster). The record is from RNAcentral. Lineage: Eukaryota; Metazoa; Chordata; Mammalia; Rodentia; Cricetidae.